AAUGAACGCUGGCGGCAGGCCUAAAACAUGCAAGUCGAGCGCCCUAGCAAUAGGGAGCGGCGCACGGGUGAGUAACACGUGGGAAUAUGCCUUUUGGUACGGAACAACCUCGGGAAACUGAGGCUAAUACCGUAUGGUCCCUUCGGGGUAAAGAUUUAUCGCCAAAAGAGUAGCCCGCGUUGGAUUAGCUAGUUGGUAAGGUAACGGCUUACCAAGGCGACGAUCCAUAGCUGGUCUGAGAGGACGAUCAGCCACACUGGGACUGAGACACGGCCCAGACUCCUACGGGAGGCAGCAGUUAGGGAAUAUUGGACAAUGGGCGGCAAGCCUGAUCCAGCCAUGCCGCGUG
Molecule: ribosomal RNA, 349 nt
Filed under: uncultured bacterium
Lineage: Bacteria
Description: bacterial SSU rRNA
Rfam family: Bacterial small subunit ribosomal RNA
Source: RNAcentral